Molecule: ribosomal RNA, 292 nt
Filed under: uncultured bacterium
Lineage: Bacteria
Description: partial 16S ribosomal RNA
Source: RNAcentral
GGACUACUAGGGUAUCUAAUCCUGUUCGCUCCCCACGCUUUCGCACCUCAGUGUCAGUAUUCAUCCAGAUAGCCGCCUUCGCCACUGGUGUUCUUUCCGAUCUCUACGCAUUUCACCGCUACACCGGAAAUUCCACUACCCUCUACGAUACUCUAGUCUACCAGUAUUGACUGACUUUCCCAGGUUAAGCCCGGGGCUUUCACAGUCAACUUAAUAAACCACCUACGUGCCCUUUACGCCCAGUAAUUCCGAUUAACGCUUGCACCCUCUGUAUUACCGCGGCUGCUGGCAC